This 354-nucleotide ribosomal RNA is filed under the name uncultured Caldilineaceae bacterium. Its description in RNAcentral is "bacterial SSU rRNA". It matches the Rfam family "Bacterial small subunit ribosomal RNA", at positions 1012 to 1382 of the family's 1533-position model. The record is from RNAcentral. Lineage: Bacteria; Bacillati; Chloroflexota; Caldilineae; Caldilineales; Caldilineaceae.
CGAGCCUCGGGCAGCGUACACAGGUGCUGCAUGGCUGUCGUCAGCUCGUGCCGUGAGGUGUUGGGUUAAGUCCCGCAACGAGCGCAACCCUCAUCGCUAGUUACAUGUGUCUAGCGAGACUGCCAGGGUUAACCCUGGAGGAAGGUGGGGAUGACGUCAAGUCAGCAUGGCCUUUAUGCCCAGGGCUACACACACGCUACAAUGGUCAGCACAAUGGGUCGCUAAGCCGCAAGGUGGAGCCAAUCCUCAAAGUUGGCCUCAGUUCAGAUUGUAGGCUGCAACUCGCCUGCAUGAAGAUGGAGUUGCUAGUAAACGCAGGUCAGCUAUACUGCGUUGAAUACGUUCCCGGGGCUU